AAUGGCAACAUAGAUUUUCACCAUUAUUAAAGGUUUACAAAUCUUAGUAAAUCUAAAAUAUUAGGUAUGCAUGAAGGUUAACUAUGUUAGUAUGUAGAAAUGAGGAAAGUGUCAUGUUAUAAAAGAAUGAGGGGGUGAAAAUGUAAAAUGUGUAAAUAAAACACUUAAUAAAAAUGGCCAGUGCUUGGAAAGUGUGGGGUGUGCGAUCGAGAAGAAAGACCAGGGGAAACCUUCCCCACAAAACCCUAACCACAUCAAAUUCAUCAAAUUAAAGAGGGAAUCCAGCCUAAUUCUACUGCAUGUGCAAGGAUUCUUGAUCAUCUAGCCUUACAAAUCACUUGGAUAGGGAUCACAUUAGCAUGGACUCAAGAACGGAAUGAUAACGGGUCAAGAGGAGGCGAGGAAUCGGAUACGAGCACGGAACCAUAAGGUGGUACGAGUCACGGAGGAUCAUCAAGGAAUAAAGAUUGAGGGUCGAGUCACUUGAGGGAUUGUACGGGGUUGUCUAAGGAUGUAAUUUAUUGUACAUAAGCUGUCAAUUAUUUUAUAAUUGAGUCAGUUUGUUGUAUUUAAUAUAAAAGAGUUAUUUUCUAAAAAAAAAAGUGAACUUUCAAGUAAGAAGUAUGGUUUAUAAUGUAAGAAGUUUUAUGGCAAGGACUUCCGCUGCGAC
Molecule: long non-coding RNA, 670 nt
Organism: Helianthus annuus (common sunflower)
Lineage: Eukaryota; Viridiplantae; Streptophyta; Magnoliopsida; Asterales; Asteraceae
Exons: 3
Source: RefSeq, a predicted model, not a curated record